GAUGAAGAACGUAGCAAAAUGCGAUACUUGGUGUGAAUUGCAGAAUCCCGUGAACCAUCGAGUCUUUGAACGCAAGUUGCGCCCGAAGCCGUCAGGCCGAGGGCACGCCUGCCUGGGCGUCACACGCCGUUGCCCCCCCGCGCCCCGCACCCAACGCUUUGGGAGCGACCGCGGGGCGGGCUGAUGAUGGCCUCCCGUGCGCUCCGCCGCGCGGUUGGCCCAAAUACCGAGUCCCCGGCGACGUGCGCCACGACGAUCGGUGGUUGAGAGACCUCUGUCGCAAGUCGUGCGCGCCCGUCGCGUCACGCGGGCUCGCAUAGCGCCUCGCGCCGCACCCGGUGCGGAGCUUUCAACGCGACCCCAGGUCAGGCGGGGUUACCCGCUGAAUUUAAGCAUAUCAAUAAGCGGAGGA
This 412-nucleotide unclassified non-coding RNA is filed under the name soil metagenome. RNAcentral's name for it is "partial contains 5.8S ribosomal RNA, internal transcribed spacer 2, and large subunit ribosomal RNA". The stretch from base 1 to 122 matches the Rfam family "5.8S ribosomal RNA", at positions 35 to 154 of the family's 154-position model. The record is from RNAcentral.